RNAcentral lists this ribosomal RNA (299 nucleotides) under uncultured bacterium. Its description in RNAcentral is "partial 16S ribosomal RNA". It matches the Rfam family "Bacterial small subunit ribosomal RNA", at positions 775 to 1067 of the family's 1533-position model. The record is from RNAcentral.
GGAUUAGAUACCCUGGUAGUCCACGCCCUAAACGAUGUGCACUAGAUCGAGGUAGGUCUGACCCUUUCUCGGUCGUAGAGAAAUUGUUAAGUGCACCGCCUGGGGAGUACGGUCGCAAGGCUAAAACUCAAAGGAAUUGACGGGGGCUCACACAAGCGGUGGAGCAUGUUGCUUAAUUCGAAGCAACGCGAAGAACCUUACCAGGGUUUGACAUGCACGGAUUAACUUUGUGAAAGCAGAGCCACGCCCUUUGGGUGGAACGUGCACAGGUGCUGCAUGGCUGUCGUCAGCUCGUGCCG